RNAcentral lists this ribosomal RNA (253 nucleotides) under uncultured bacterium. RNAcentral's name for it is "partial 16S ribosomal RNA". It matches the Rfam family "Bacterial small subunit ribosomal RNA", at positions 524 to 776 of the family's 1533-position model. The record is from RNAcentral.
UACGUAGGUGGCAAGCGUUGUCCGGAAUUAUUGGGCGUAAAGCGCGCGCAGGCGGUCCUUUAAGUCUGAUGUGAAAGCCCACGGCUCAACCGUGGAGGGUCAUUGGAAACUGGGGGACUUGAGUGCAGGAGAGAAGAGUGGAAUUCCACGUGUAGCGGUGAAAUGCGUAGAGAUGUGGAGGAACACCGGUGGCGAAGGCGGCUCACUGGCCCGUAACUGACGCUCAUGCACGACAGCGUGGGGAUCAAACAGG